RNAcentral lists this ribosomal RNA (253 nucleotides) under uncultured bacterium. RNAcentral describes it as "partial 16S ribosomal RNA". It matches the Rfam family "Bacterial small subunit ribosomal RNA", at positions 524 to 776 of the family's 1533-position model. The record is from RNAcentral.
UACGUAGGUGACAAGCGUUGUCCGGAAUCACUGGGCGUAAAGGGCGCGUAGGCGGUCUGCUAAGCGUGUGGUGAAAGCUCGGGGCUCAACCCCGAGUCGGCCAUGCGAACUGGUGGACUCGAGCACUGUAGAGGCAGGUGGAAUUCCGGGUGUAGCGGUGGAAUGCGUAGAGAUCCGGAAGAACACCGGUGGCGAAGGCGGCCUGCUGGGCAGUAGCUGACGCUGAGGCGCGAUAGCGUGGGGAGCAAACAGG